Molecule: long non-coding RNA, 6951 nt
Filed under: Cucumis sativus (cucumber)
Lineage: Eukaryota; Viridiplantae; Streptophyta; Magnoliopsida; Cucurbitales; Cucurbitaceae
Description: long non-coding RNA (CSAT_LNC000331)
Source: RNAcentral
AAAAAGAAAAAGAAAUUGAAAAUGGUAUCCGUUGAGAAAAACAGAGAGAGUUUGCCCAUAUACUAUACUUCACACCGACCCAAAACCCACGAUUUUAUUUAUUUAUUUAUUUAUUUUUGUUUUUAUUUUUAUAUUUAAAAAAAAAAAAGAAAAAAAAGAAAGCGUCUAUGAAGAAAAAUAAAAAUUGGAAUCGACGGCCGGCUACGCGCUUCUCGCGUGAGAUCCCACGUGCUUUGAACUCCAUUCCAUGAAUAACCGGCCAACCAUCCACGUGAACCCCUCUCCGUUUGUGAGUUUUCCCUUCUCCCCACCCAGCCAGCCAGACCGCAGUUUUCCCGCUACUCACCGACCCCACCCCCCCCCCUCCCUUCACCGCACCCUUUCUUUUGGGCCGAAGCCAUAGCCGAAUCAUCCCAGCCCCUUCCGACACUCUAUCCAAACCAUCAUGACCCAACCCCCCUCCUUCCGGUCCCGGCCCGCUUCCUUUUCGGUUCUCUACCCCUUAUCCCUUUCCCAUCCCCAUCCCCAUCCCCGGCCGACUCGCUCUUCAUCGCCGACGCUCCCUUCUUUUUUAUCCCUUUCUUCUUCUUCUCUCUCUUUCCUUCUCUCCCCAUUCCUCAUGGGUGAUCACCGAUUCUCACACCCCUUCCUCUGCUAACUCUCGCCAAGUUCCAUUCGUGAGGAUUGUUGGAGCGAGGACGCUACUUCCACUCUCAUCGACGCUUGGGGUCGCCGUUUUCUCGACCUUAAUCGUGGAAAUCUCCGUCAGAAGGACUGGCAAGACGUUGCCGAUUCUGUUAACUCUCUCCACGGUCUUACCAAGAAGACCCAUCGCACCGAUGUUCAGUGCAAGAACCGGAUCGAUACCGUUAAGAAGAAGUACAAGACCGAGAGGGCUAGGGUUUCUGCUUCCCAUGGAAAUUUUCUUUCCUCUUGGCCUUUUUAUGCUCGUCUUGAUGAACUCAUUGGUCCUACUGUUUCCAUGAAGAAACCCUCUUCUCCUCCUUUGGCUCUUCCUUUGCCCUUCCGUAAGACUCCUCCUCCUUCCGCUGCUGCUUCUUCUGCUAUUGUCGCUGUCUCUCAGAAGCGACCUGCUGUUGCGAUGGAAGAUGUGUCUUUUCGGAGGAAUUACUCGGCUGCUGCCGCUGCUGCGCUGCGGUUGCAUUGUCGGAGGAGGAGGAGGAAAGAAGAAGAGGAGGAGGAGAGAGUGAGCGACGAUGACGAGGCGGAAGGUGAGGCAUGAGUAGGUUGGCAAGAGCGAUUAAAAGAUUUGGGGAAGUCUAUGAAAGAGUGGAAGCUGAGAAAGUGCGACAAAUGGUGGAAUUGGAGAAGCAGAGGAUGCAAUUUGCUAAGGAUUUGGAGCUGCAGCGGAUGCAUAUGUUCAUGGAGACCCAGGUUCAGCUUGAGAGGAUUAAGCGAGGGAAGAAAUCAACUCCCAGUGGUAAGGCUAAGCGAACUUUCUCCUCUCUUUUCCCAUUGAAAUCGCUUUUUCGUUUCGCAUGAAGUGGAAGUUCGAUCUCUUGCAGCUUCAAUCAUCUUUUUUUUUCGAGCGUCUUCUGUGCUGAUUGUUGCAGUAGAGUUAUUUGGUCUGAUUGUUUGCUAGAUAUCGUGGUUUUGAGAUCCAUGGAGCAGAAAGAUUUCCCAAGAUUUUUCAGAACUUUGAAAUAAACUACUAAUUUAACUUUGUAUGGUCAUAUUUCAAUCUUAUAUUAGAGAUAUUAGUGAACUUUUUAUGUUCUUUUUCUUUCUAGGGAAUCCUCCAGAUAAAGUUUUACAUUCUAAACACUAUAAAUUAUUAAAAACCAGUUCCGUAACUUUGUAACUUUCUUGAUUCCGAGAUGAGGGUUACUUAGAUAUAUAUAACAAUUUAUAAGUUACUAAAACGAAAAGGAAUCUUCUAUUUCAAAAAAAAAAUAAAACUAAAAGGAAUCUUGGUCGUUCUUUGUGGUUGUGUGGGGGGUGGGGGGGGGGGGGGGUGGGUACUUGCGGUUUCUAAGGUUGGAUACAAUUUGGCUGUAUUAUGUAAUCAAUGCCUUAUGUUUUGCUUGUUUAGAGACUUGAAAAUGGACCUACGAAAUGAUUCUUUAUUUUUACUGGUGCUGGUGCUAUGUAAAUACAAUAUAGAAAGGUUAUAUUUGAAUAUGGGUUGUAACGAAGUGGUAUAGCCUUGGUUAUAAUGCAUUGCUACGUGACCAACUCAUAAUGAUUUAGAGAAAUAUGUGAAGACUCUAGAGAUUUUGACAAUGUCUUAUAACCCAUUUUUGGUUUUUGAAAAUUAAGCUUAUAUAACACUACUCUCACCUUUGAGUUCCUUUGUUUUUUGUUUCAUUGUCUAUCACGGUUUUGGAAAACCAUGCAAAGAAAAGGUAGUUUUUUUCCCCUUUUUUUCUUUUCUUUUCUUUUUUCUUUUUUUCUUUUUUCUUUUGACAUAAAGGUUCAACUAUUUCUUUAAGAGAAGGGAAAAACCCUGAGGUGGGCACAAAUUUUUUUUCUUUGUUUGAGCGAACAACUAUUUGUACAUUACGGUUAAAUUGACAUAUAAUUAUGUCUCUUAUAGCCCCCUGGGUGAGGGUCUGACACACACGUAGACAUGGGGGACGGGGGGGCUGUGAGAAUUACCAUUACCGUUUUAUGCGGAUGAUGAGUGGAGAGGGUGGGGUAUCUUUUGGCAAUUAUCUUGUAAUUGAUCUCUUUUGAGAAUUUGGGAGAGAUUGGUAUUCUCUUGUAUACGUCCCUGAUUUUAAAAAAUAAAAUUGAAGUUGAGGCUAAGGACUCUGAAUUUCAUUUAUAGUCUACCAAUUAGUGAUUACUUUAUCUCAAUCACUUUUCUUGGAGAGAAUUAGGUCCCUGACAUGCAAGGUUGUUCUGCAUAUUAAAGCCAAAAAGUAAUGCAAUUCUUCAGGUUUGAGGUGAACACGUUUUGGUAUAUGUAUCAUCUGAAAAUCUGAAUUGCAGAAAGAAUCAUAGCGUAGAGAUGGUAGAGAAUUGUGUUAGGUUGAGGAUAAUUGUUGUACAGUUGAGUAGCUUGAAGAAGAUACAUUCAUAGGUUCAUAUGUUGGUUACAGAGGAAACAACCACCAAUCUAAAGAGUUGUACAUAACUGGAAAUUAAAACAAAAAUCCAAUUGCGUGUGAACCACUGAGCCCCCAACUGUUUCUCGUUUCAGUGAUAAGAAAAAACAAUGAUCUUAAAAAUUAGAACUAUACAUUUCUGUAUACAUCAUAGCCAGAAUAUGGUGUUGGGGAGGUAUUUGGAAGGAAGAGUUAUAGCCUGAUAAAACUUCUCCGGGUGGAGAACUUUCGACAGUUUAAUAUAUAGAUUUUUCAAUAAUUCUGAACAAAAUCCCUCAGACAUUUUUUCCGUGUUCCAAACAGAGAAUGUGUGCCUUGGAACAGUGUUUUUAUUUAUUUUUGUGCUUUUAAGAACAUUGGAUAUAGAACUGAUGCUAGGUAUCAAGAAACUGGUCAAGUAAAGCCAAAUUCUGCUUUAAUUUUAUCUGGGUAAACUGCUAUUAGUCAUUUGAUAGUUAGCACCAGCAGUUAAGUCUCUACAUCAUCACUUUUUUUUGCAAAAUGUUAGGUUGAACUUAGGCUUCACUUUCCCUAGCUGUGGUGUCUCCCAUGACCAAUGGGAAGGCGUGAAGAUUUUAGAUUUGGAAAUUACAAUGACUUUUUGAGCUUAGAUUACUGGACUAUCUCCUUCGGCUAAUUUAGUUAUUUGAUUCAUUUUUUUUAAUUGGCUAUUUUCCCAGGAUUAGAAAAUUUGUUCUCACGUUUCAAUGUUGCUUCUAGCAUGACUAUGUUUGGCCUCGGAAUGUUUGGGAGGAUGUCUCCAAGGUCUUUGACGCAAGCCUCUAGGCGGAAAGCUGGAGGAAUAAUUUGAAGUGCAUGAUGUCUUCUUGUUGAUUAUUGCUGUGGGGGGUGGCUCUAACUGUUAUCAUUGGUAUCAAAAGGAAAAAGGGGAAAAGGGUACUUGGUGGAUAAUUCCUUGCUCAAGAUUAUACCAUUGGAUCGUGUAGUUUUAUAUCAGUUUGUUUCCUCUGAAGAUUAUGAAACCAGCUCUCUGCCUCAUUAAUGAUGUCACGUGACAUACUUCCGCUCUAGUCUUGUUUUGUAGUGUACUUUGGUGUAACUAAUUUAAUUCAAGUUCUUCAAGAAUAUAAGAUUUUAUAUUUUCGAGAAUUGCUAAUGUAUAUUGUUUCUUGAAAACCUCUUCUACUGUCAAAUUUGCUAGUCAUAUCUCCAGGAAAACUGCCUUUCUAAUCUAUCUUGCUUUUCCAAAUAUUCUUGAGAACUGAACAUUCGAAGAUGGCAAAACAUGACCAUUCAUAAUCAGUCGUGCGUUUCAAGUCAAAUGUUUGUGAAUCUUAGAAAGACAUUUCUUUUUCUGAUGCAGAUAUGUAGAGGGUAGCCGUGUGAGAAGGGAUAACAUAAAAACAUCGUAAGGUAAAUACAAAUGGAAGCUUCUGAUAUUGUGGAGCAGAUGAUGAACACCUCUAAUUUUAAAUAUCACAAAUGAGUUGGAAUUUAAUUUUAUGAAGUUAGCCAAGGCUAACAACCCCUUCCGCACUCCUUGUAGGGAAGUUGGGCAAACUGCUAAUCUAAGACGAACCAUAUUAUCUUCUACUAUUAAGAAUUAGCUUGGUGUAAUUCAGCUUCUUUAAAUAUCUAAAUGCCACCAUUUUACAGAUUUGGUUGGUGUAACUAAUCUUGUAUGAAUGUUGCUUUUGUGGUGGUAAGUUAAGUAUGAAGUUCUCUCAUCUUCUUCUCAUGUGUCGUGAUGGUUAGUGCUCUGGUGAGAAUCUAAACUUAGUUUUUUAUUUUUUUGGGUGGGGGAGAUGUUUUUAAGUGUUGUAUUUAUUUAUAGUGAUUGUUCCGAUGGAUUUCAUCGCCUAACUUCGAACCAAAUAAUUUAUGUUUCUGAACUAGUCUAAGUGGCAAAACUGGUCUAGAUCAAGCACUUUAAGGCCAGCUUGAUAAUGUCUUUUGUUUUGUUUCUUUUUUUUUUUUUUAACAAAUAGACUUGUUUGACAACUAUUUUAAACUAUUUUAGAGAAAAAAUUAAAUUAAAUUUCGCUAACUAUAUAGUUAGAGCAAAAUUUCAUUUUAAUUUAUUCUAUUGUAUGUCUCUCAUAAAACAAAAACUUGACUUGUUCUAAUCAACUAAUCAAUACGAAUUAAAUGGAUGAGAAACAUGCAAAUUUUGUUUUGUAUCAAUUGCAUUAAGUUCUAGGUUAAGUUAGGUUGAAUAGCUAAUUUUUAAGUGCUUAACUAAAUAUUCACGUGAAUCAGUUAGGUUGAAUAGCUAAUUUUUAAGUGCUCAACUAAAUAUUCACGUGAUUCAAUUUUAAGUUGAUUCAUGUUAAUUUGAAACCCAUCCUAAUUUAUUGCUUUAAAUGGAUUAACGUAGAAGCAAAUUUCACAUAUUAUUUAUUAGUAACGAAAGCUAUAAUCAUGUAAUCCUCAAGACACGAUAAUAUGAAACUCUUCGAUCAAAACGAAAUUGAAUCAACAACUACAAGUGCACGAAAAUAUGUAUUAGCAAUGAUCAACCUUCGGUUUUCCUAUACUUCAUGAUUGAGAUCAGUUUGAAUAUUUACUAAAUUGACCAUAGUUGAUUUAUUUUGACCGAUUGAUACUCAACCCUAUUUAAACUUACAUUCUAUAAUGAAAAAUAUUUUAGAUUGAGAUAAUUGUAAACAACUAUUUAUAAGGAACUAGUAGUUAAGAUAAUUGAGAUAGGUGUAAGGAGAAGCAAAAGAGGGGUUGUUGAAAUCUUUGAAGUCCUAACAUGUAAUUGGAAAAGAAAAAUAGAACCGUUGUAUACUAUUUUUCCGUUGAAAAAAAAUAAGAUGUCACAUAUAAGCAAUGGCCAAAGUAGGAUUGUAUAUUAUAUUUGUUUAUUGAGAAGAAACAAAAAUGAAAGAAGGCGAGGUGGAGAAUCAAAAUAAGAUGCUUUACAAGAAGAUCCAAAAAAACCAAUUUAUGGUUAUUAUUAAACAAAGGUUUAUAUUCAAUAUUUAGGUAAUAAACGAAAUGAGAUAGAGAAUUAAAAAGAAAAAAGCAAUUGGCGCUGACCCUUCAAAAUGGUUUCCGUUAAGAAAAAUAAAGAGAGAGAGAGAGAGAGAGAGAGAGAGGGCAUCCACCGGACCACAAAACGGACGAUCUAACAUAACCCAAAAUAAAAGCCAAAAUGCGGAUAUACAAAUAAAACUAUCGUCAACGGCCGGCCACGCGCCUUCCCAUCAUGAGAUCCCACGUGGUUUGAAAUUCAUGAGUAACCGGCCAAACCAUCCCCACGUGAACCCUCUCCGUUUGUGCAAAUUCCCCCCUCUGGCUACCCACGCCGCACUCUUUCCCUAGUCAGCGACCCCACACCCCCCCUCCCUCUCUUCACCGAAUUUGGCCGAAGCCGUAGCCGAAUCCGAGCCCCUUCCGACACUCUAACCAAACCAUCAUGACCCAACCCCCACCCCCCCCUCCUCUCUCCUUCCGGUUCCGGCCCGCUACCUUUUCGGUUCCCUAUCCCUAUCCCCAUCCCCUAUCCCAUCCCCGGCGAUAUCAUCGCCUCGACCGCUUCACUCGCCGACGCUCCCUUUUUCUUUUAUCCUCCCCCAUCUUCUUCUUCUCUCUUUCUCUUCUCUUUCUCUUCCCAUUUCUCAUGGGUGAUCUAACCGAUUCCCUCACCCCUUCCUCUGCUAACUCUCGCCAACUUCCUAUUCGUGAGGAUUGUUGGAGCGAGGACGCUACUUCCACUCUCAUCGACGCUUGGGGUCGCCGUUUUCUCGACCUUAAUCGUGGAAAUCUCCGUCAGAAGGACUGGCAAGACGUUGCCGAUUCUGUUAACUCUCUCCACGGUCUUACCAAGAAGACCCAUCGCACCGAUGUUCAGUGCAAGAACCGGAUCGAUACCGUUAAGAAGAAGUAUAAGACCGAGAGGGCUAGGGUUUCU